AACGAACGCUGGCGGCAUGCCUAACACAUGCAAGUCGAACGAGACCUUCGGGUCUAGUGGCGCACGGGUGCGUAACGCGUGGGAACCUGCCCUUAGGUUCGGAAUAACUCCCCGAAAGGGGUGCUAAUACCGGAUAAUGUCUUCGGACCAAAGAUUUAUCGCCUUUGGAUAGGCCCGCGUUGGAUUAGCUAGUUGGUAGGGUAAAAGCCUACCAAGGCGACGAUCCAUAGCUGGUCUGAGAGGAUGAUCAGCCACACUGGGACUGAGACACGGCCCAGACUCCUACGGGAGGCAGCAGUGGGGAAUAUUGGACAAUGGACGAAAGCCUGAUCCAGCAAUGCCGCGUGAGUGAUGAAGGCCUUAGGGUUGUAAAGCUCUUUUACCCGGGAUGAUAAUGACAGUACCGGGAGAAUAAGCUCCGGCUAACUCCGUG
Molecule: ribosomal RNA, 433 nt
Filed under: uncultured bacterium
Lineage: Bacteria
Description: partial 16S ribosomal RNA
Rfam family: Bacterial small subunit ribosomal RNA
Source: RNAcentral